Molecule: non-coding RNA, 29 nt
Filed under: Mus musculus (house mouse)
Lineage: Eukaryota; Metazoa; Chordata; Mammalia; Rodentia; Muridae
Also listed under: 1 other name
Source: RNAcentral
CUUUAACAUUUAGUUUCUGUCUUCAAGUA